This 233-nucleotide ribosomal RNA is filed under the name uncultured bacterium. RNAcentral's name for it is "partial 16S ribosomal RNA". It matches the Rfam family "Bacterial small subunit ribosomal RNA", at positions 118 to 347 of the family's 1533-position model. The record is from RNAcentral.
UGGGCAACCUGCCCCUAGCUCUGGGAUAACUGCGGGAAACUGUAGCUAAUACCGGAUGUGACACGAGACUGCAUGGUCUUCGUGUGGAAAGAUUUUAUCGGCUAGGGAUGGGCCCGCGGUCUAUCAGCUUGUUGGUGGGGUAAUGGCUCACCAAGGCGACGAUGGAUAACCGGCCUGAGAGGGCGACCGGUCACACUGGGACUGAGACACGGCCCAGACUCCGUACGGAGCAG